RNAcentral lists this small RNA (117 nucleotides) under Kaistella jeonii. RNAcentral describes it as "Chryseobacterium jeonii Flavo-1 RNA". It matches the Rfam family "Flavo-1 RNA". Lineage: Bacteria; Pseudomonadati; Bacteroidota; Flavobacteriia; Flavobacteriales; Weeksellaceae. The record is from RNAcentral.
UUCUAGCCCGGAUCGGAGCGGCAUCCUUUUUUGUUAUUGCGAUUGCGGCCUUUUUCGAUAGGUUGCGUGUUUUCGUUCGCAAUGACAAAAAAGAUAGAGCGGAGAGCCGGAAUCAGC